This 87-nucleotide transfer RNA is filed under the name Dichotomopilus funicola. RNAcentral describes it as "tRNA-Ala". It matches the Rfam family "tRNA". From Rfam's summary of the family: Transfer RNA (tRNA) molecules are approximately 80 nucleotides in length. Their secondary structure includes four short double-helical elements and three loops (D, anti-codon, and T loops). Lineage: Eukaryota; Fungi; Ascomycota; Sordariomycetes; Sordariales; Chaetomiaceae. RNAcentral also lists the same sequence under 1 other name. The record is from RNAcentral.
GGGCGUAUGGUCUAGUGGUAUGAUUUCUGUUUUGCAAGAAAAUUUCUUCAAUACAGACGGUCCCGCGUUCAAUCCGCGGUACGUCCA